AUGCUAACUGACCGAACCAGACGUGACUCCACCAUCAUGAAACAUGGUUUUCGACGAACAGCUGCGAACGGAAACCAUGGCGUCGUCUCGUCAGCAAGACACUCAUGGGAGUCAGCAAGACUGCUUUCUUUCUUACACGAUUACGGCGAAAGCAACUCGUGUACCAGCACGAGCCGUGUUGUCAAUCGACUAACAACCAAAGCAGGUCGUGUUGAUGGCUCGACCUCGACUCAAUGUGGUAGUUUACAUAUGGUCCCUUUUGGCGUUGUACCGGUGGUGACAUCUUUGGUGUUGUGCUCUUCUCUCUAUGUAAUUUGUAAUGGAUACACACACAACUCUCCUGCGUGUUUUGAAGAAAAAAUGGUCUCUCUCUCUCCCUUGACUGAGAAUCGAACUGGUUGUCCAACCAAAUGUGUGAUGGAAUCUCUGUCCCUUUCCUCUUUCUUUUAA
This 450-nucleotide ribosomal RNA is filed under the name Triticum aestivum (bread wheat). Its description in RNAcentral is "partial small subunit ribosomal RNA". The record is from RNAcentral. Lineage: Eukaryota; Viridiplantae; Streptophyta; Magnoliopsida; Poales; Poaceae.